Molecule: ribosomal RNA, 468 nt
Filed under: uncultured bacterium
Lineage: Bacteria
Description: partial 16S ribosomal RNA
Rfam family: Bacterial small subunit ribosomal RNA
Source: RNAcentral
GACGAACGCUGGCGGCGUGCUUAACACAUGCAAGUCGAACGGAAAGGCCCUGCUUUUGUGGGGUGCUCGAGUGGCGAACGGGUGAGUAACACGUGAGUAACCUGCCCUUGACUUUGGGAUAACUUCAGGAAACUGGGGCUAAUACCGGAUAGGAGCUCCUGCUGCAUGGUGGGGGUUGGAAAGUUUCGGCGGUUGGGGAUGGACUCGCGGCUUAUCAGCUUGUUGGUGGGGUAGUGGCUUACCAAGGCUUUGACGGGUAGCCGGCCUGAGAGGGUGACCGGCCACAUUGGGACUGAGAUACGGCCCAGACUCCUACGGGAGGCAGCAGUGGGGAAUAUUGCAAAAUGGGCGGAAGCCUGAUGCAGGCACGCCGCGGGCGGGAUGACGGCCUUCGGGGUGUAAACCGCUUUCGCCUGGGAAGAAGCGUGAGUGACGGUAAUGGGUAAAGAAGCACCGGCUAACUACGUG